Molecule: ribosomal RNA, 33 nt
Filed under: Albifimbria verrucaria
Lineage: Eukaryota; Fungi; Ascomycota; Sordariomycetes; Hypocreales; Stachybotryaceae
Description: partial 18S ribosomal RNA
Source: RNAcentral
AGAUCUCGUUGGUGACCAGCGGAGGGAUCAUUA